GACGAACGCUGGCGGCGUGCUUAACACAUGCAAGUCGAACGGAUAUGUUCUCAGCACAAAGUGCUUAUAAGUAAACACUUUGUGCUGAAAAUAUAUUAGUGGCGGACUGGUGAGUAACGCGUGAGCAACCUGCCUUAUACUGGGGGAUAACACUUAGAAAUAGGUGCUAAUACCGCAUAAUAUGUAUAAAGGACAUCCUUAAUACAUCAAAGAUUUAUCGCACAAAGAUGGCCUCGCGUCUGAUUAGCUAGUUGGUGAGGUAACGGCCCACCAAGGCGACGAUCAGUAGCCGGACUGAGAGGUUGACCGGCCACAUUGGGACUGAGAUACGGCCCAGACUCCUACGGGAGGCAGCAGUGGGGAAUAUUGGGCAAUGGACGCAAGUCUGACCCAGCAACGCCGCGUGAAGGAGAAGGCUUUCGGGUUGUAAACUUCUUUUAAGGGGGAAGAGUAGAAGACGGUA
This 463-nucleotide ribosomal RNA is filed under the name uncultured bacterium. RNAcentral's name for it is "bacterial SSU rRNA". It matches the Rfam family "Bacterial small subunit ribosomal RNA", at positions 28 to 477 of the family's 1533-position model. The record is from RNAcentral.